AGAGAGUGACGGGCGAUUUGUACAUAUUCCAGAAUCUCUAUUCACUAUAAUUCUUAAAUUAACUUUACUUUUAAAUCCUAUUUCAUUAACUUAACACAAAUUAAAUUCAUUCAUAAUAAUUAAUGUAACCCAUAAAAUUCUUUUAAAUACUGCACCUUGACCUAACAUAAAAUUCAUAAAAAUUAAAGAAAUUAACAUGUUUUUAUAUAUUCAUGACAGCGGUAUACAAAUAAUUUAAAUAAAAGCAAAUAAAGUUGUGGAAUAUCAAUUAUACUACAGGUUCCUCUAAUAAGAUGCAAUACCGCCAAAUUCUUUGAGUUUUAUAUUCUUAGUAAUUACUACUCAAGCAAUUUUACAGAUAAAAUAACAGGGUAUCUAAUCCCAGAAGAUGA
This 392-nucleotide ribosomal RNA is filed under the name Melanastera smithi. Its description in RNAcentral is "Diclidophlebia smithi partial small subunit ribosomal RNA". Lineage: Eukaryota; Metazoa; Arthropoda; Insecta; Hemiptera; Liviidae. The record is from RNAcentral.